ACGGGUGCGUAACACGUACACAACAUACCUUUAAGCGGGGGAUAGCAUUGGGAAACUGGUGGUAAUACCCCAUAACAUUGCGGUGCGGCAUCACACUGUAAUUAAAGUUUCGGCGCUUAAAGAUUGGUGUGCGCCCGAUUAGCUAGUUGGCGGGGUAACGGCCCACCAAGGCUACGAUCGGUAGGGGGUGUGAGAGCAUGACCCCCCACAUGGGUACUGAGACACGGACCCAACUCCUACGGGAGGCAGCAGUAAGGAAUAUUGGACAAUGGACGGAAGUCUGAUCCAGCCAUGCCGCGUGCAGGAUGAAGGCGCUCAGCGUUGUAAACUGCUUUUGGAUGGGAAUAAUAACCUCGACGUGUCGGGGCUUGAAGGUACCAUCAGAAUAAGCACCGGCUAACUCCGUG
RNAcentral lists this ribosomal RNA (407 nucleotides) under uncultured bacterium. RNAcentral describes it as "bacterial SSU rRNA". It matches the Rfam family "Bacterial small subunit ribosomal RNA", at positions 102 to 507 of the family's 1533-position model. The record is from RNAcentral.